RNAcentral lists this transfer RNA (70 nucleotides) under Camelus bactrianus (Bactrian camel). It matches the Rfam family "tRNA". From Rfam's summary of the family: Transfer RNA (tRNA) molecules are approximately 80 nucleotides in length. Their secondary structure includes four short double-helical elements and three loops (D, anti-codon, and T loops). Further hydrogen bonds mediate the characteristic L-shaped molecular structure. tRNAs have two regions of fundamental functional importance: the anti-codon, which is responsible for specific mRNA codon recognition, and the 3' end, to which the tRNAs corresponding amino acid is attached (by aminoacyl-tRNA synthetases). tRNAs cope with the degeneracy of the genetic code in two manners: having more than one tRNA (with a specific anti-codon) for a particular amino acid; and 'wobble' base-pairing, i.e. permitting non-standard base-pairing at the 3rd anti-codon position. RNAcentral also lists the same sequence under 2 other names. Lineage: Eukaryota; Metazoa; Chordata; Mammalia; Artiodactyla; Camelidae. The record is from Rfam by way of RNAcentral.
GGGGUUAUAACUCUGGUAGAGCACGUGCUUAGCACGCAUGAGGUCCUGGGUUCAAUUCCCAGUACCUCCG